UACGAAGGGGGCUAGCGUUGCUCGGAAUCACUGGGCGUAAAGCGCACGUAGGCGGACUCUUAAGUCGGUGGUGAAAUCCUGGAGCUCAACUCCAGAACUGCCUUCGAUACUGAGAGUCUCGAGUCCGGGAGAGGUGAGUGGGACUGCGAGUGUAGAGGUGAAAUUCGUAGAUAUUCGCAAGAACACCAGUGGCGAAGGCGGCUCACUGGCCCGGUACUGACGCUGAGGUGCGAAAGCGUGGGGAGCAAACAGG
This 253-nucleotide ribosomal RNA is filed under the name uncultured bacterium. Its description in RNAcentral is "partial 16S ribosomal RNA". It matches the Rfam family "Bacterial small subunit ribosomal RNA", at positions 524 to 776 of the family's 1533-position model. The record is from RNAcentral.